UGGAUUCAGAGGUGGGGUUGUGGGUCGGGUGUGGCCCGGCAGCUUGUCUCCGUGUGCCGCUCCCAAUCAACCCGCGUUUGCCCCAGCCUCCUAUCGCACGGAAACGGAGUCCUGCUGGGGUCUCCUUAACUGGGGGUUCCAGCGCUUCCGCGCACAACGUGCGCUUACGGACCGUCCGUGGACGUUACUGUGAACAAAACAGCGUGUUCAAAGCAAGUGGCUUGCCUGCCCUGCAUGUUAAAGCAUGGAAUAACAAGGCACCGACCACUCGGCGGUGCUUUUGUUGGUCUUUCCCUCCCGGUGGGAAUGCGCAGGCGUGCACACUGCCGGCCUUCUGGCCGGUCUGGGUGCCGUCUCUUCGAGAUCAAUAGGGGCAAACGGGGAGAUACCUAUUGUGGGGAGAGCGGUGAAAUGCGAUGACCCCCAUAAGAGGAACUUCAGCGAAAGCAGUUCUCAAGACUGCCUUCGUUAAUCAAGAACGAGACUGUGGGGAUCAAAGAUGAUCAGAUACCGUCGUAGUCCACUAGCGUAAACGAUGCCGACUCAUCAUUGGGGGGCAUCUCUAACAAGCGCCCCCCAGUGGUUCUCCCC
Molecule: ribosomal RNA, 591 nt
Filed under: uncultured marine eukaryote
Lineage: Eukaryota
Description: bacterial SSU rRNA
Rfam family: Eukaryotic small subunit ribosomal RNA
Source: RNAcentral